AUGGACACGGAAGAGCUGGCCAUGGGAAGGAAUGACACGGCCCAAUGGAGCAAAAGCAGAGUCCAGAUCGUUGCCGAUGUGGUCCGCUCAGAUGUUGACAGGGGUGACAAAAAAGUGCAAAUGAAGAAUAUCCUGGAGUCGAAGCCCAUGGCCUCACAAUUCCGUAGUUCUGCUACAAAGCAGGGGAUACCUAAGUUUGCUUCUCUCACAACGCCAGGAUCCAUGGACAGGAACAACUCAGGGCCUAUUGCUGGUAUCCUGCGACAUAUGAUGGGCCAAAAUGCGACAUAUGCUGUUCUUAUUCACACGGAAUAUUUUGAGUUCAUUCCAUUGGAGGAAUUCAACUCGGGGAGCAGUGACUAUGUUAAUUACUCAGAGACAGAGCCGAAUGUGCUUAUUGAAGUUCUAAUAACUACCUUUGCAGCUGGGAUAAUUGUAUGGUUGAUAUCUACAACGAUGAACAUCAAGCCGGUGAUCUCUAGAUGCUUGGGCAAGGAUGUACGCAUUCUGAUUGCUGUUGCUGUUGUGCUGGCGUCUUCCACACAUGUGCGGUCUGCUCCUGAAGAUAUUCCACCUGUCGUGGCCACAGUUUUCGGUGAAGGAGUGGAUUCAUACAACCCAUUUCUCAAUGUUAUGCACACGUUGCUAGAAGCAAACACGGAACCUGAUGAGUACGAUAAAUAUUUUCUUCCUCAGGAGAAGCAGCCAGGACCACCAGCUUGGUGGAUCAGUGUCGAGGUGAAAGGUACGGUGAAGAUAUUGGACGCAGUGCCCUCAUGUAUUUCAGAUCAGAUAAUAUAUACCUCGUUGGAUUUAUGA
This 819-nucleotide ribosomal RNA is filed under the name Triticum aestivum (bread wheat). RNAcentral describes it as "partial small subunit ribosomal RNA". The record is from RNAcentral. Lineage: Eukaryota; Viridiplantae; Streptophyta; Magnoliopsida; Poales; Poaceae.